GGCCAAGUUUUUAAGGGCGCACGGUGGAUGCCUUGGCACCAGGAACCGAUGAAGGACGUGGGAGGCCACGAUAGUCCCCGGGGAGUCGUCAACCAGGCUUUGAUCCGGGGGUUUCCGAAUGGGGAAACCCGGCAGUCGUCAUGGGCUGUCACCCACAUCUGAACACAUAGGGUGUGUGGAGGGAACGCGGGGAAGUGAAACAUCUCAGUACCCGCAGGAAGAGAAAACAACCGUGAUUCCGGGAGUAGUGGCGAGCGAAACCGGAUGAGGCCAAACCGUAUGCGUGUGAGACCCGGCAGGGGUUGCGUAUGCGGGGUUGUGGGAUCUCUCUUGACCAGUCUGCCGGCUGGUCGGCGAGUCAGAAACCGUUGAUGUAGGCGAAGGACAUGCGAAAGGUCCGGCGUAGAGGGUAAGACCCCCGUAGUCGAAACGUCAGCGGCUUGCUUGAGAGACACCCAAGUAGCACGGGGCCCGAGAAAUCCCGUGUGAAUCUGGCGGGACCACCCGCUAAGCCUAAAUAUUCCCUGGUGACCGAUAGCGGAUAGUACCGUGAGGGAAUGGUGAAAAGUACCCCGGGAGGGGAGUGAAAUAGUACCUGAAACCGUGUGCCUACAAGCCGUGGGAGCGUCGGACAUCAGCUUGCUGGUGUCUCGUGACUGCGUGCCUUUUGAAGAAUGAGCCUGCGAGUUUGCGGUGUGUUGCGAGGUUAACCCGGGUGGGGUAGCCGUAGCGAAAGCGAGUCCGAACAGGGCGAUGGAGUAGCACGCUCAAGACCCGAAGCGGAGUGAUCUAGCCAUGGGCAGGUUGAAGCGGAGGUAAGACUUCGUGGAGGACCGAACCCACCAGGGUUGAAAACCUGGGGGAUGACCUGUGGUUAGGGGUGAAAGGCCAAUCAAACUCCGUGAUAGCUGGUUCUCCCCGAAAUGCAUUUAGGUGCAGCGUCGUGUGUUUCUUGCCGGAGGUAGAGCACUGGAUAGGCGAUGGGCCCUACCGGGUUACUGACCUUAGCCAAACUCCGAAUGCCGGUAAGUGAGAGCGCGGCAGUGAGACUGUGGGGGAUAAGCUCCAUGGUCGAGAGGGAAACAGCCCAGAGCAUCGACUAAGGCCCCUAAGCGUACGCUAAGUGGGAAAGGAUGUGGAGUCGCAGAGACAACCAGGAGGUUGGCUUAGAAGCAGCCACCCUUGAAAGAGUGCGUAAUAGCUCACUGGUCUAGUGAUUCCGCGCCGACAAUGUAGCGGGGCUCAAGCGUACCGCCGAAGUCGUGUCAUUCAUACAACAGGGCCAACGCCUGUAUGGAUGGGUAGGGGAGCGUCGUCUGCCGGGUGAAGCAGCCGCGUAAGCGAGUUGUGGACGGUUGACGAGUGAGAAUGCAGGCAUGAGUAGCGAUUCACACGUGAGAAACGUGUGCGCCGAUUGACUAAGGGUUCCUGGGUCAAGCUGAUCUGCCCAGGGUAAGUCGGGACCUAAGGCGAGGCCGACAGGCGUAGUCGAUGGAUAACCGGUUGAUAUUCCGGUACCCGCUGUGAAGCGUCAAACAUCGA
RNAcentral lists this ribosomal RNA (1542 nucleotides) under Streptomyces cylindrosporus. RNAcentral's name for it is "partial 23S ribosomal RNA". It matches the Rfam family "Bacterial large subunit ribosomal RNA", at positions 1 to 1468 of the family's 2925-position model. The record is from RNAcentral. Lineage: Bacteria; Bacillati; Actinomycetota; Actinomycetes; Kitasatosporales; Streptomycetaceae.